UGCCUUUCCAUCUGGAAGAAUCUGGAGACAGGUGCUGCAUGGCUGUCGUCAGCUCGUGUCGUGAGAUGUUGGGUUAAGUCCCGCAACGAGCGCAACCCUUGCCUUUAGUUGCCAGCAGUUCGGCUGGGCACUCUAAAGGGACUGCCGGUGUUAAACCGGAGGAAGGUGGGGAUGACGUCAAGUCCUCAUGGCCUUUAUGACCAGGGCUACACACGUACUACAAUGGCCGAUACAAAGGGCAGCGACACUGCGAGGUGAAGCCAAUCCCGUAAAAUCGGUCUCAGUCCGGAUUGGAGUCUGCAACUCGACUCCAUGAAGUUGGAAUCGCUAGUAAUCGUGGAUCAGCAUGCCACGGUGAAUACGUUCCCGGGCCUU
RNAcentral lists this ribosomal RNA (375 nucleotides) under uncultured Desulfobulbus sp. RNAcentral's name for it is "bacterial SSU rRNA". It matches the Rfam family "Bacterial small subunit ribosomal RNA", at positions 1010 to 1382 of the family's 1533-position model. Lineage: Bacteria; Pseudomonadati; Thermodesulfobacteriota; Desulfobulbia; Desulfobulbales; Desulfobulbaceae. The record is from RNAcentral.